GCUCUUUCUUCUGUGAAUCAGUUCUAGGUGGCCAGCACCCUCAGCAACUACAAGCACUGCAUGCCCAUUUUCUUUCAGUCGUUGGUCAAGAAAUUCAAAGAGUCCUCCUUUUCCUUCCAAGUAAACUUUAAAUACGUAAAACAUUUUUCUUCAUUUGCAUGCGUGCGUGCGUGAUGAAUGAAAGUGUUUUACUUAUCUUUUUUUAUUUUUUUUUUGUAAUUAAACGUUGUAAUAAAACAUUUGAACUAUGUAUGACACGAAGUGUAGUUCCCUAAAAUAAUGUUUAGUCUUGUGGAAAAUCGCUUUUAAUGGAGAAACUGUUUGAGUCGAGGAAUUGAACUAGUUAUGUCAUGAUUUGGGUCAGUUCAGGACUGAAUUUUAUUUUCAUUAUAUUGGGCAUGACAUUGAAUACCUUGACACCUUUUCGAACAUUAUGCAUCUUUAAAGAGAAAAACUUUUGGAUACAAAAGAAAGUAAAGUAUAUCUUCAAUAGAAGGUACAUUUUUAUAUCUUAAAAUCAUAAAAAUAGAAACAAAAUAUCACUACUUCUAGUGAACAACUCCAACAAACAUACCUUCACUAUCCUUGUUUUCAUACAUAGGUGCAAAUGAGACCACUUUUUUUAUUUUUCUAGUGCACAAUUAAUUUAUCACUCGUUAAUUACAAAAAAAAAAAAAUAUAUGUAUAACAUUUUCCUUCAUGUGCGUGCGUGCGUCUUAUGAAGGAAAAUUUAUUUAUUUAUUUUUUUGUAAUUAAAUGUUAUAAUAAAAUAGGAAAAUUGUUUUUAAAAAUAAGAAAUUUGUUUUUAAAAAUAGAAAUUGUAUUUUUCAAAUUUGGAAUAAUAUUAAAAUGCAAUUAAUCCACAUAGAUUUUGACACAUUGUUGAAAAAAAUGACAUUUCGUUAAGUUUUGGAUUAAAACUAUGUUUGGGAUCAAAACUGAUGACAAAUAAAAUGGAUGGACUAUUUUUGUGAUUUAAACUAAAAUAGGUGGACAAAAAAUGUAAUUAAGCCUAAAAAUAAUUGAAGGUUUUAUGGAAGGCGAGUCAAUCUUCUUUUUGGAGUCAGACUCAGCCUUCUCAACCUUCAUUUUGGACUCGACCUCAGUCUUAACCUUCUUUUUGGAGUCAGACUCAACCUUCUCAGCCUUCUUCUUUUUGGAGUCAACUUAAACUUCUCAUCCUUCUUUUUUGAGUCAUUUGAAGACACUAUGAUUUGUAAGUUUUUUGAACAUUCAAAAUUUAAGUUAGUGUCUCUCUAACAAUUGCAUGACAUGUUAAUAAUGAUUGCAUGACUGUGACCAAAGAUAUCGGCACACAUUGAUAAUGACUGUCUUGACUAUUUGAAUGACAAUGAAUUUUAAAAUUUUAUCAACGUUUUUAUUUUCUCAAAUGCUUUUUCUCUAUCAAUUAACUUAUUCUCUAUAAAAUAUUCUCUACUUUUUACCAAACGGAUUGUGAGCAUAAUGUUUACUUAUUCAACUAAAAAUCUAAUUGAAAAUAUGAUAAAUAAAAAACUCAAAGUUUUGCAUGACUUUUGUACAUUACUAAUAAUUCCUUCAAAAACAAAAUGGCUACAUUACUAAUAGAUCAAUGCUUACAAAUAAAACCUAUAUACAGAGCCCUAUCAACUCUUACAAAUAUUGGUAACGUUGUUUGAAAAUUAAAGACCUAUACGAGAGUGACAUUACAAUUGUAUGUCAGAUUCCACAUAAGUUUAACAUUGUUCUAUCCUUUUAUAUUCCCUUGUACCAUUAGAUUUUUCAUUCUAUAAUACUUGGAACUUGGAAGGACUUGCAUUAAACCGACCACCACUAUAAGAAUCUAUGUUGUCAUAAAAUAAAACAAAAGAAUCUAUACAGCGAACUGAACAAAGAUUCUGCUAAUUAGUUUAUGGGAGUUCAUUUAUUGAUAAUCAUAAAACUUUAUGUUACAAAGUAUGUAAAAAAUAUGCAAAUUCAUACAUCAUUUGUUGUUAAGUACAUCCAUCUUUUACCAAGACUCUUCAGCGCCUACUAAGAACAUUAGAGUAUUAAAUUAAACAUAAACUGCUGACAUCAGAACAUGAAAACCACUUAUGCAUAAGAUCUCCCUUCAGAGUUUGUGUUCCAAGAAUGCUCUCUGAAAACGGCCGGAACGUCUAGCUCCUUAGAAAAUCAGGCUGAUUGGUGACAGAUCUCACCCAAGACCAUUUAUGAUCUUUUGUAUUAACUGGGUUAUUUGCACAUGCAACAUCUUCCAGUGGAAUGUAUGCAUAGUCUCCAUUAAUAGGACCCACAACAAAUCCAGUAUACCCUGCCAUAGCACCAUGAAUUGCAGAGUGCGCCAAGAGUGUACAAUACAAAUUAUCAGUAGCAUUUGCAUGGACGGCACGAAUCAUGUAUGUAGGAUCUAUGUACUUGACUGUAAAUAGCUCACCAGGGUGGUCCCUGUCCCACCACUUCUUCAGCUCUGACUUUAACCACACUCCAACAUCUAAGAAAACUGGAUUACCAGAUUCAUCUCGCUCUUCCUUCUGUGAAUCAGUUCUAGGUAUUAUAUCCUGGCCAGCACCCUCAGCAACUACAAGCACUGCAUGCCCAUUUUCUUUCAGUCGUUGGUCAAGAAAUUCAAAGAGUCCUCCUUUUCCUUCCAAGUAAAAAUCUAGCUCCGGGAUUAGGCAGCAAUCAACAUCACGGCUGCUGAGUGUUGCAUGAAGAGCAAUGUGACCUGUGCUUCGACCCAUCAACUUCACAAGGCCUAUACCGUUAACUGCACUUUCGGC
RNAcentral lists this long non-coding RNA (2762 nucleotides) under Cicer arietinum (chickpea). RNAcentral's name for it is "long non-coding RNA (CARI_LNC001334)". Lineage: Eukaryota; Viridiplantae; Streptophyta; Magnoliopsida; Fabales; Fabaceae. The record is from RNAcentral.